This 752-nucleotide long non-coding RNA is filed under the name Homo sapiens (human). RNAcentral describes it as "non-protein coding HDAC2-AS2:115". Lineage: Eukaryota; Metazoa; Chordata; Mammalia; Primates; Hominidae. The record is from RNAcentral.
AGCGCGCCUUGCUCACCGUGGUCCCCGGCGGUGGCGGCGCGGGCGGGAGCCUCAGGGCGCGGGGGUCGGCGGCGGGUCGCGUGGGGGUCACCCGGCCGCUGCUGCGGUCCGGACGGCAGUUGGUCCAGUAGUUUCGGAUGCCCGGGCUAGGCUCGGCGGAGAGCGAGUCGGCGUGAAUGAGAGCAAACCAACAGGGCUGUGCGUGGCGCGUAAAGAAGUGUUGAAGAAGAGAGAGACAGAAGAAAAUCACCAUAAAAAGUCAGACACGAGAGCUUAGAAGUCAAUUAAGACAGGGCUUGGAAGGGGCAUUAGGAAUUCUGUGCUCAAGAAUUUUUGCAUCCAUCAAAUCCUAGAAAUUAGAGUCCGCACAUUACUACCAGGUUUUUGGGGAACCGGUGUUACAUGAAGGUGCUGUUAACACUGGGAGUAGUGCUUUCUCUUAUUGAGAAAAAAAAAACACCUCUGUUUGCAUCUGUAGACAAAGAUCUGUUCAGAAUGGUUGGCUUUGUGAGAAACAUUCCACCUCUCAGGCUGUGAAGCUAAGACUUACUGCCAUUGAAAAUGAGAAGAAGAGACUAGUAGAGACAGCUGAGACCAAACACUUUAAUUGAGUCAACAGAAGGAUUCAAUUUAAACCUCCAACAAACAGAAUGGCUGUAAGACAAGUUGCAUUUGAUUGGCAAGAACCAAACACUUGAUGUGUCUGGAAUUGGUAGCUUCUUGGUCUCACUGACUUCAAAAAUGAAGCCACG